GACGAACGCUGGCGGCGUGCCUAACACAUGCAAGUCGAGCGAUACAGAUUGGUGUUUGCACCCAUUUGAAGGGCAGCGAACGGGUGAGUCCCGCGUGUGGAGUCUGACUUUGAGCGGGGGACACCAUUUGGAAACGAAUGCUAAUACCGCAUAAUAACUUUACACUUAAGUUUCCCGUUUGAAAGAUGCAAUUGCAUCACUCAAAGGUCAUCCCGCGUUGUAUUAGCUAGUUGGUGAGGUAAAGGCUCAACCAGGCCAUGAUACAUAGCCGCCCAGAAAGGGGGAGCGGCAAAAUUGGGAUGGGAGCACGGCCCAAACUCCUACGGGAGGCAGCAGGAGGGGAUUCUCGGCAAUGGACGAAAGGCGGACCGAGCAACGCCGCGUGAGUGAAGAAGGUUUUCAGGUCGGGAAACUCUGGUAGGAGAGAAGAACGUUGAGGAGAUUGGAAAGCGCAGCAAGUGACGGUAACGACCCAAAAAGCGACGGCUAACUACGUG
This 497-nucleotide ribosomal RNA is filed under the name uncultured bacterium. RNAcentral's name for it is "partial 16S ribosomal RNA". It matches the Rfam family "Bacterial small subunit ribosomal RNA", at positions 28 to 507 of the family's 1533-position model. The record is from RNAcentral.